This 99-nucleotide transfer RNA is filed under the name Tautonia plasticadhaerens. Its description in RNAcentral is "Planctomycetes bacterium ElP tRNA-Gly". Lineage: Bacteria; Pseudomonadati; Planctomycetota; Planctomycetia; Isosphaerales; Isosphaeraceae. The record is from RNAcentral.
AGCAGACCUGGGACGCCGAUGCGGAGCGGUCCGGCUACCGGCUGGGCGCGGCCAAUCGGCUCCGGGGCCGGCGGGAUUCCGACUUCCGGGUCCGCUUCC